This 455-nucleotide ribosomal RNA is filed under the name uncultured bacterium. Its description in RNAcentral is "bacterial SSU rRNA". It matches the Rfam family "Bacterial small subunit ribosomal RNA", at positions 923 to 1379 of the family's 1533-position model. The record is from RNAcentral.
GCACAAGCGGUGGAGCAUGUGGUUCAAUUCGACGCAACGCGAAGAACCUUACCCAGGCUCGAACGGCAUUGGACAUCCUGCGAAAGCAGGCUCCCGCAAGGGCCGAUGUCGAGGUGCUGCAUGGCUGUCGUCAGCUCGUGUCGUGAGAUGUUGGGUUAAGUCCCGCAACGAGCGCAACCCUUGUCCGCUGUUGCCAUCACGUUAUGGUGGGCACUCUGCGGAGACUGCCGGUGAUAAACCGGAGGAAGGUGGGGAUGACGUCAAGUCAGCAUGGCCUUUAUGUCUGGGGCUACACACGUGCUACAAUGGCCGGUACAAACCGUCGCGAUACCGCAAGGUGGAGCUAAUCGGAGAAAGCCGGUCUCAGUUCGGAUUGCAGGCUGCAACUCGCCUGCAUGAAGUUGGAAUCGCUAGUAAUCGCGGAUCAGCACGCCGCGGUGAAUACGUUCCCGGGC